RNAcentral lists this long non-coding RNA (1424 nucleotides) under Felis catus (domestic cat). RNAcentral's name for it is "lncRNA (ENSFCAG00000047714.1)". The record is from RNAcentral. Lineage: Eukaryota; Metazoa; Chordata; Mammalia; Carnivora; Felidae.
AUGUAUCACCUGCAGCAAAAUCCAUCAGCUGGAACCAAAAUGUUGGUAAGAGUAGAAAGAAGGAAACUCUGUAAAGAUCUGUUACCACAGAUAUGGAGAGUGGGAAGAAAUUGCCAGACACCAUUAACAGGCCUUGCAGGACACCUCACUGAAUGUGAUGCUCAGAGUAUUGGUGGAAAAUUCAUAAGCUGGGAUUGGAUGCCAGACUGGUAGGUUAUCAACACAUGUAUAUAUAAAGUUUAUAUAGCACUUACAUUUUAGAAAUUUUAUUAUGUAUAUAUUAAAUUGUAUUUCAUUAUUUUCUUAAUUUAUAUUGUUUAUUUGCAUUAUAUAUUGUUUUCAUAUUGUGAUACACAAACUAUAUAUCCUAGCCAUCAUUAUCUUAUUAGGAUCCAGAGCUAAGUUUCAAGAGAAUUCUUUUUGGCACCUUAAAAAUCAUAUUUCCCUGAGAUAAUAUACAAUAUUUUAUAUUACUAUUAUUAUGGUCUCUGGUUUCUUAUUAAGCUGACCUUUGUACCUGUUAAUGAGUUGAAUUGUGUCCCCCAAAGAUAUGUUCAAAUUCUAACUCCCAGGACCUUAGAAUGUUACCUUAUUUGGAGAGAGGGUCUUUACAGAGAUAGUCAAGUCAAAAUGAGAUCAUUACAAUAGGCCUCAAUCCAAUAGGAUUGGUGUUCUGAUAAAAAAAAAAAAAAAAGAAAUUUGGACAAAGAAAAAGACACACACAGAGGGAAGACAAUGUGAAGACACACAGAGAGAACAACAUGUAAAGACAGGACUGGAGUGAUGCAUCUAUAAACAAAGUAACACCAAAGAUUGUUGACAAACCACCAGAAGCUUAGGAAGGAAAGGAAGGAUUUUUCCCUAGAGCUGUCAAAGAGAACAUGGCCCUGCUCGUCUACACCUCAAUUUCAAACUAAUAGCCUCCAGAACUGAGAUAGUACAUUUCUGUUGCUUUAAGACACCCAGAGUUUGGUACUUUGUUACAAUACCCCUAGGAAAAUAAUAUAGUGCCUAAAAUAGAGUCUCUCUGUUUAAGGACAAAAUAUACUAAAUAUGUAUUACUGGAACCUUGUAUAAAUAUAUAUCUAAAUAUACACUGGAACCUUGAAAUACCAGGACCCUAUUCCAUCCAGGGCUCUGCUGUGAGAAGGUUCUUGGUCCCAACUCUAAGAAGCUCCUGUAACAAGAGCCAGCUUACCAAUGUGAAACUUACAAUACAUAGGCCUUUGCCUCUAGUAACAAUUAGGGAUCUAUACAUGACAUUCCAGACCCCAGUCUAGACAGUGGUCUUUCCAGUCUUGUCUCCCAUUCUUUCCCUGAUCCUUGUCCAGAGCCAAGCAGGUGCUAUCACUCUUCUCCUCCUCUUUGGCUGUCAUAUGGUACCAGACUAGUAGGAAGCAAUAAAUACAUGAGGGUUACAAGCA